This is a non-coding RNA of Arachis ipaensis, 500 nucleotides long. NCBI's taxonomy places the organism in Eukaryota, Viridiplantae, Streptophyta, Magnoliopsida, Fabales, Fabaceae. The record is from RefSeq and is a predicted model, not a curated record.
AGAGCUUCCUCUUUCCUCCCUCCAGGUAGGUUGUCCUCUUCCCUCUCCCUAUUAUUUUUUUGUAAUUUAUUAAAAGCCUUAAUGCAGCAUGUCGGUUGGUCACCGUCGCCACUACUGCGCCAUCUGUGAUGCCACUAUGCUAGAAAAGUCCUUUACACCACUACUAUCUCUGGAAAAAAUUGAAGUCACGUAUAAAACGAAAAUUCAGAGAGUACGAUGAUAGCAAACAUUGAUAGGCUUCAAAUCGUCGCUAAACAGAAUGCCAGCGAUUUAAGGACUGGCUUCCUUUAGGACGCGGGAAUUGGAUUUUAUAGUGAUUUCCGGCAACCGCUAGUAUGACCGCUUCAAUUAAGAUAUUUUGUGUUGGUAGGAUUUGCUGUGAUUCCGAGCUGCAAAGGUGAUUUCUUCUUUCUUUUGCGACGCUCAUUAACCGCCACUAUUUGGUGCUACAAUAUUUUCUGAAAUUUUAUUUGUGGCGGUUUUGAAUCGCCGCCGUGUUA